This 313-nucleotide long non-coding RNA is filed under the name Panax ginseng (ginseng). Its description in RNAcentral is "long non-coding RNA (PGIN_LNC019114)". The record is from RNAcentral. Lineage: Eukaryota; Viridiplantae; Streptophyta; Magnoliopsida; Apiales; Araliaceae.
UCAAUCUGGACCCAAACUCCUAACCCUAGAAAUCGAGGAGAAAUCUGGCCUCGGCAAAUCCACCGACUGAAAAUCUCUUCUGCCAUUAAACUCGCAAAUCCACUGGCGAAUCUCCGCAAAUCUCGGCAGAUCGAUUUCUCUGUCAACCCUAGAUCUGAUAACGGCGAUAGUGAGUCGGAGAUUGAAGAUCUAGACUCGGUGACCCGGAUAGUGAGCCGGAGAUUGAAGAUCUAGACUCGGUGAUUAAAAGCUUCGAAGAAGAGAUGAUGAACUCGGCCGACGUUCUCUCCCUCCGGUGAAGAUUUUUUUUUUG